This 77-nucleotide transfer RNA is filed under the name Candidatus Liptonbacteria bacterium RIFCSPHIGHO2_01_FULL_56_18b. RNAcentral's name for it is "tRNA-Lys". It matches the Rfam family "tRNA". Rfam says of the family: Transfer RNA (tRNA) molecules are approximately 80 nucleotides in length. The record is from RNAcentral. RNAcentral also lists the same sequence under 1 other name. Lineage: Bacteria; Candidatus Liptoniibacteriota.
GCCCCCUUAGCUCAGUCUGGUAGAGCAGCUCCCUUUUAAGGAGACGGUCGUAGGUUCAAAUCCUACAGGGGGCACCA